UUUGACGAAACUCCUCAGGCCAAAUGUUUCUUGUCAAGGAGCUGAACACUUAAAGAAAUUUGUGCCAUAUGAAAUGGAUAACAUACUAGAACGCAGAGCAAAUGAAUACAAGCAAUAUCAACUCAGGAGGAAGACAAACGCAGAUAUUAUUAUUGCCCCAGCCAACUCUCCUCUCCAAUAUCCAAUCACAGGUUUCAGGGUAGCUCCUCUGAAGAAAAGUUUGAUACCAGGUCUUGUUCUUCAAACACAAGGGAGAGGUUUAACAAACAAGAGGGAGGUGUACAAGGUGCCAUUUGUGCUCUUUUUUUUAAAGCUUUUUUUUUAUUUAAGGUCAGUUGCAGGUAAAAUCCCUAGUACACUGUAAGAAAAAGUGUUAAGUUGUAAAUAAAAUAUUGUUUUACAAGAAAAUAUUAUUUCUCCUUUUCAAAUUCAAAAUGUCAUGUUUAAUUCCGUAUUACAUAAAUUAUGUAAUAAUUUAUUAAAUUAGCUAUAUCUGCAUGGAAAUUGUUUCUAAACCAAUUCUUUUUUUCAGUGUAUGAGGUAUUCAAUCACAAUACGUGCACUUUAAAAUACUGUUUUGACCAGAAAAAGUGUUCAAUGUAAAUUCUUAAAGGUGUGCUAUUAUGCCUUUUCUAUAAUAUUGCUGUUUGAGCAUAAAAAAAAGAUUGACAAAGUUACAAAGCUCAAAGUCUGAUUCAAAAGGAGAUAUUUUAUUUAAAGGGUUAGUUAACCCAAUAAUAAAAAUUAUGUAAUUAAUAACUCACCCUCAUGUCGUUCCAAACCCGUGAGACGUUUAUCUUCGGAUCACAGUUUAAGAUAUUUUAGAUUUAGUCCGAGAGCUCUCAGUCCCUCCAUUGAAGCUGUGUGAAUGGUAUACUGUCCAUGUCCAGAAAGGUAAGAAAAACAUCAUCAAAGUGGUCCAUGUGACAUCAGAGGGUCAGUUAGAAUUUUUCAAAGCAUCGAAAAUACAUUUUGAUCCCAAAAUAGCAAAAAAUACGACUUUAUUCAGCAUUGUCUUCUCUUCUGGUCUGUUGUAAGAGAGUUUAAAACAAAGCAGUUUGUGAUAUUCAGUUUGUGAAUAAAUCAUUCGAUGCAACCGGAUCUUCUUGAACCAGUUCACCAAAUCGAACCGAAUCAUUUGAAACAGUUCGCGUCUCCAAUACGUAUUAAUCCACAAAUGACUUAAGCUGUUAACUUUUUUUAAUGUGGCUGACUGAGGUGGGUAGUAACGAGUUACAUUUACUUCGUUACAUUUACUUGAGUAAAUUUUUGGGGUAACUAAUACUUUUUGGAGUACAUUUAAAGAUGGGUACUUUUACUCAAGUAAUUUUUUGGGGGGAAAAUCUGUACUUUUACAUCGUUACUGUGGGCGACGCUCCUCUCGUUACUUGAUCUUAUUGCAAUAAAUGUUAUAAAGGCUUUAGUUUGAUCCAAACGCGACGUCUACUUCUCUCUGGGCAAUGAGCGAUUCCCAUUGACAAAUGAUUCAUUCUUUUGAGUCAAUUCUGUUCCAAGGCUUGAUCAAACCAGUCUGCUAACCAGUGACUUGGUUCGUGAAUCAGUUUGAAUGAUUCGUUCAGCAUCCCGCCGCACGCGCUGAGCAUUUGAAAUGGUUCAUUUCACUCAGAGUUGUAACGUUUAAGAACAGAAAGAGCGUUGAAGACGUGGCUGGAUCUGCACUGAAUUGAAAGCAAAUCUGCAAAGGCUAUUAUUUGCUUGCGAUGAAGAUCUGUAUUGGAUGAACACCACGUGCGCUGUCUGGUUCAACAGGUAUACUUGGGUUACACUUGAUUACAGUACAGUUACCCCUAUGACAUUAGUUUGUUGUAUGUGUAACUUAUAACAGAAGGGGAACCAAGUUGAAUGCAGCUUCCAAAAGAUAAAAAAUAGCCGAUUAAUAUUUUCUAUAUUUGAUGCAAUCACACCGGCGUGAGAACUCAGCGAGUCAUAUCAUCAGCUGCUAAAUUCAGAUCUGCGUUCGCUGGCUGGCGGUGAGCCAGAGACAGACGCUUUUUUACAGCAGUGCACAAUGUAAUGUUGAUAAUGUAAAUGUUAUUUGCUCCCUUUCUGAACAAUGAAGAUUAGUAGUAGUUUUUAUAUCACAUUGACUUUCAAUGUUAAAUUCACAUUUAAUAUAAAGUAAGUCAUAUUAAAAAUAUGUUAUGACAUGACACCUAUAUUACUUAUGUAAUUUAUUAUAAAAACCUGUCUGUUU
This is a long non-coding RNA of Carassius auratus (goldfish), 2215 nucleotides long. The record is from Ensembl. Lineage: Eukaryota; Metazoa; Chordata; Actinopteri; Cypriniformes; Cyprinidae.